UUAUGGUUAUACACAAAUGCAUUGAUAACUGUCGAAAGGUGGCUUUAGGUCGCUUCAAGAGUCCCUACACAUGGGGACUAGUGGUGGGACCUCCCCUGCUGGGCCACAUGAUGAUGAUUCCAGGUGUCUGCAGGAGUCACCUGUUGUGACAAAUAUGGACAGGGUUCAUUGCCAUACAAAACAUAAGAUUUUAGGCCAAAAAAAUGGGUGUUUAAAACAUAAAGUAAAAUACAUACAUACAAAAAGUAAAUAAAAAUAGCAUUUAUUAUAUGUACACAAAGAAUAACAUGCAUACGUAUAUUUACUUUUUUUUUUUUUUUUUUUUUUUUUGGAUUUAGCGUUGAAGAGAUGCUUCCCUUUGGGCUGACUGAUAUACUGUAUGGAGUGAAGGACUGGCAGCAUGAUUGCUGUAUGUGAUCCGGUGAGAGAUGGUUAUCAUGCUGAACACCCGGAGCGAUGCCUCAUACACAAACCUGUCACUCACAGGUCACUCGGUCACAUUUCUCACUCACAUAUGUGUGCUUUCUCACACCUCUGGGGUAUUUCUGAGUGCAUAUGUGUGUUUGUUUUAAUGGGUCAGUGUUUCAUAUCACAACAUAAAUAAAUGUCCAGUGAUCAUAUUAUAAAAAUAUUUAACUUGAUACAUAUGAUUGUAAAGUUGUAGUGGUACAAAUGAAACAGAACAUUAAGUAUAGGUUAUUUUGCCCUCUUGAUCUUUUGACCUAUUUUUGACAGGUUUAUUUGAGUUAAGGCAAGGUGGGUAGUUUUGACGGUUUUACAAUGUGAUAUUUGUAUGAAUAUUAAAUUCUUAUUGAAAAUGAGUUAAUUUUGUAGGAUUGUUCAAUUUUGGACAUACAACAUUGAGUCUUGCACAUUUGUGAACGAAACUUUAAAAACAAAAUGUAAAACAGCAUGCAACAUGGGAAAAUGAUACAAAAAUGUAUUAUUUUAUUAAUUAUAAUGAUAACAAUAAUUGAUAUAAAAGGAUAUGUGUAAAACAGACAGAAUGUUCUGGUAUAUUAUAUUGGUGUGUUCAGAUUAAGGUUCCAGUUCAGUUUGAAUUUAGCUGUUGUAUGUGAAAGCAUGAAAAUUACAUUACAAUGCAUAUCUUGAAAAGUGUUACCAUUUACACAGACUGUAUACGGAAUGUUACAUGCAAAAGUACAAUAUAAAGUUAGUUUAAAACUAUGAAAAUGUUAACGUCAUCACAACAUUUGGAAUGUUCUGAAAUACUCAACUAAAUCAGUUAUGUAAAACCAAAUGUUAAACGGUUAAAUGGUUACACUUUAAUUUCAAGGUGUCCUUGUUACAGUGUAAUUAUACAUGUAAGUACAUAGAAAUAUUAAUUAACUACAUGUACUUACUAUAUGGAUAGGAUUAGGGUUUGGCUUGGGGUUGCUUGCAUGUAAUUACACAUAAUUUAAAGUUAUUAUAAUAUUAAGUACAUGUAAGAUGUGUAACAAGGACACCUUAAAAUAGUGUUAUCCAAUUUUUUUUUUUUUUUAAAGCAACAUCUGUAAAUAACGGGCAAAAACAUACACGCCCAAAUUUCUAAACUUGUCCACAUCAUCCGGGAAGUGUGUUGUGUUUUCCAUGGUUUAAAACCAGAGCUGUGUGAAGCGGAAAACCGAGCUCUCGAGAUAGACCAGCUGUCAGAUCUAAGCCUGUAAACCCCACACAGACAUAAAGCCCACAUCCACAGCACCUGUUUUCCACGCAGACAAAAUCACUCACACUUCCUGUUGAUGUUUUUCUGUGUCAUCUUCAUUUGAGGAUUAUACAGUAUUACAAUUUUAAUUGAAAUGUAUUAUCAUCUUUUCAUCUUGCAAAGGAAGGUAUGAGAAUGCAGUUGAUUUAUAGAAUAAAGUUUGGUAGCCUGUUUAUUAAUCUCA
This is a long non-coding RNA of Carassius auratus (goldfish), 1892 nucleotides long. RefSeq lists it as uncharacterized. The record is from RefSeq and is a predicted model, not a curated record. NCBI's taxonomy places the organism in Eukaryota, Metazoa, Chordata, Actinopteri, Cypriniformes, Cyprinidae. The transcript has 2 exons.